Molecule: transfer RNA, 88 nt
Rfam family: tRNA
About the family: Transfer RNA (tRNA) molecules are approximately 80 nucleotides in length. Their secondary structure includes four short double-helical elements and three loops (D, anti-codon, and T loops).
Source: Rfam
UGCCCCAUGGCUGAGUUGGUUACAGCGUCCGACUGUUACAAUUGCAACUGAAAUCGGAAGGUCGAGAGUUCGAGCCUCUCUGGGGCAG